CGCUAACUAACGCUAACCUCACGUCUCCUGUGGAAAGCGGUGGCAAAGACGACGGCCGAGGUGUCUGUACGUCCUGUGUCUGUGUGACAGAAAAGAACGCCAUGCCAGGAGAUAAAAGUGAUGAUAAAAGAAUUACGGUUGCCAUGGAAACCCAGGAGCAUGAAGAGCUUUCCAUUGCCCUCUGGUGGACAUUGCUUUGAAUGCAUCAGAUGUACGAAAGGAAACAGACACCUUCACCAGACGGACAGACUUCUCUCUCUCUCUCUCUCACUCAAACACACACACACACACACACACACACACACACACACACACACUGUAUAUUGAUGGUGAUUCACAGUGUAAGCAGCUGUUUUCCUACAUGAAUGGAUAAGUGGCAUAGGACUGAGAUGAAAGUGGGAAUGUGCGCUUUCUCGUGUUUGUGUGUGUGUGUGUGUGUGUGUGUGUGUGUGUGUGUGUGGCAUGAGCCAGGCGGGCCACACAUGGAUUUGAUUAGCACUGUGUGACACAACCUCGCCACACACACAUACACACACUUGCAUUACCCAUAACCCCCUGCCCUCCAGCAGAGCCCGGCAGUGUGGCGGCAGCAGCAAUUUGAAUGGCUCGUCAGUUCCCUCUCUCUCUCCCUCUCUCUCCCACCUCUCUCGCUCCCUCUUUCUCUCUCUCUCCCUCUCUCUCCCACCUCUCUCGCUCCCUCUUUCUCUCUCUCUCUCCCACCUCUCUCGCUCCCUCUUUCUCUCUCUCUCCCUCUCUCUCCCACCUCUCUCGCUCCCUCUUUCUCUCUCUCUCUCCCACCUCUCUCGCUCCAUCUUUCUCUCUCUCUCUCUCUCUCUCCCCCUCUUUCUCUCCCACCUCUCCCUCUUUCUCUCUCUCUCCCUCUCCCUCCCCUUCCUCACCAUCUCUCUCUCCCUCCGCCCCCCUCUCUCCCCCUCUCUCUCUUACAGCCUUGUUCCUCCUCCUCCUCCUUCUGCUCUCACAUCAUCACCAGUUUUGAAAUAUACAGUGUGUAAAUCAAAUGCUGAGCCAGCUAUACUUGUUUGGUGUUCAAUGCCAAUAAGUGUGUGUGUGUGUGUGUGUGUGUGUG
This is a long non-coding RNA of Ictalurus furcatus (blue catfish), 1087 nucleotides long. RefSeq lists it as uncharacterized. The record is from RefSeq and is a predicted model, not a curated record. NCBI's taxonomy places the organism in Eukaryota, Metazoa, Chordata, Actinopteri, Siluriformes, Ictaluridae. The transcript is spliced from 3 exons.